UUCCAGCUCCAAUAGCGUAUAUUAAAGUUGUUGCAGUUAAAAAGCUCGUAGUUGGAUUUGGGACUGGAGUCGUCGGGUCGGCCGCGAGGUCUGUUACUUGGCGGCUCUGUCAUUACAAUUCCCUGGGACCUGUCGUGUGCUUCGCUGUACGCGGCACGGGACUUGGGACGUUUACUUUGAAAAAAUUAGAGUGUUCAAAGCAGGCUUUUUAAGCCCGAAUACAUGAGCAUGGAAUAAUGGAAUAGGAUUGCGGUUCUAUUUUGUUGGUCUCUACGACCGCAGUAAUGAUUAAGAGGGACAAUUGGGGGCAUCCGUAUUUCGUUGUCAGAGGUGAAAUUCUCGGAUUUACGAAAGACGAACAACUGUGAAAGCAUUUGCCAAGAGUGUUUUCAUCA
RNAcentral lists this ribosomal RNA (395 nucleotides) under Obelia sp. RNAcentral describes it as "partial small subunit ribosomal RNA". It matches the Rfam family "Eukaryotic small subunit ribosomal RNA", at positions 583 to 975 of the family's 1831-position model. The record is from RNAcentral. Lineage: Eukaryota; Metazoa; Cnidaria; Hydrozoa; Leptothecata; Obeliidae.